CCUACGGGAGGCAGCAGUGGGGAAUCUUGCGCAAUGGGGGAAACCCUGACGCAGCAACGCCGCGUGGAGGAUGAAGUCCUUCGGGACGUAAACUCCUUUCGAUCGGGACGAUAAUGACGGUACCGGAAGAAGAAGCCCCGGCUAACUUCGUGCCAGUAGCCGCGGUAAUACGAGGGGGGCGAGCGUUGUUCGGAAUUAUUGGGCGUAAAGGGUGAGUAGGCGGUUUUGUAAGUCUUAUGUGAAAUCUAUGGGCUCAACUCAUAGACUGCAUGAGAAACUGCAGGGCUUGAGUGUGGGAGAGGUGGGUGGAAUUUCCGGUGUAGCUGUGAAAUGCGUAGAUAUCGGAAGGAACACCUGUGGCGAAAGCGGCUCACUGGACCACAACUGACGCUGAUGCACGAAAGCUAGGGGAGCAAACAGGAUUAGAUACCCGUGUAGUC
This 440-nucleotide ribosomal RNA is filed under the name uncultured bacterium. RNAcentral describes it as "bacterial SSU rRNA". It matches the Rfam family "Bacterial small subunit ribosomal RNA", at positions 338 to 795 of the family's 1533-position model. The record is from RNAcentral.